Molecule: long non-coding RNA, 2255 nt
Organism: Thunnus maccoyii (southern bluefin tuna)
Lineage: Eukaryota; Metazoa; Chordata; Actinopteri; Scombriformes; Scombridae
Exons: 3
Source: RefSeq, a predicted model, not a curated record
AACAGUCAACAACAGCUCAACAGUCUUUUUUCUUGUUCUUGAAAGCAGCCAUUAACAGUACACAAACCAAUAUCUAUUAAAGACAAAUAGUCAAAUAUCACCUCUAAAACAGAAAAAAAAACUAUUUAAAACAUGCCAAAAUGUCCAAAGAAAUCCAGAUUUGACCUUUAAAAAAACACUCAUACUUUUAAUUAGUAAAUUUACAGCCCCAUUAAGCCUAUUAUAACUAAUUACAACGUCGUGUUAACUUUUUUCAAACACGUCAGCAGUACCCGAUCUGUUCUGCUAUGUAUGAGCGUCUCUGGUCCUCAGAAAAUGGUCCCCUUAGGAGUCCCAAUGAGUCACUUAAGGUCAGAUCCAACACAACCCUGACUAAUUUAUACAAUGAAGUCAGAAACUUUUCUUUCAGUGAUUUUUUUUCUGACCUCCUAGCUUAGUAACCGUAACUAGGCAGGUAACAUAACAGCAGGGCUGUCAAGUCUUGGAAUUUUCCACAUGCUAAAGCGGUAUGCAUGAGGCUCCAGUAAGAACAAUAUUCGAUAUCUCAGGAGCUUUGAGGAUGGUAUCUUUUUUAAUCGCUUUUCCAAAACCAAAAACAACAGCAAAAUUGCGAGGAUCAGAUUAAACUGUGUGUUUGUCUUGUCUAACGUAAACUGGAAAUGUUGGUAGCCUGGCUAGCUUACUAACUACAGUAGUAACCUAGCAUUACUUCCAAAGAAAAACAGCAUAUUAUUGCUUCAUUAUUAUGUGAAGUUAACAGGUUACAUUAGCCAGUCCUGGAUGCUGCUAUAUCAGAGUUUGUUGUAACAGUAAUAGCUCUGUUUUGCACUUUAUUAGAUUUAGGGGAGUUUACACUCAAGCAACCUCAGCCAAACGUGUAAUUUGAGAAAGCAUUACAUUAGCCAAACUCAUCGGAUUGUACUCAUGCUCAAAGAACUUUCUCUUGUAAGUGAAACAUUGAUCGUUUGUAAAAUACAAACAAUUAAGCAAAUAUAAGCUCCAACAGCCUAAUCUCUGACAGGUGUCAUCUUUUUGCCAAUUCACUGAGCUAAUUAGCCAGCUAGGUAGCUACAAGCUGAUAAAAUUUGGAAGUCCUGACAUUUUGGACAACAAAAUUGUCAGAAUUGUUUUUAUUUAUUUAUGCAUGAAAUCAAAGACCUAUUGUUUCAAAAAAUAACUAUGAAUUUCAAUGGUAAAUCACAGUUGUAAUUAUAUUCUGUACGAGAUAGGAAAACUUGACAGGUGUAUCAACAGUAACUGAGGGAGCAGAGCUAAGCAUACAGCUUCAAAACGGACAACACACCUGACAGUGUGGAUCAUCCUGAUGUGAUGAGUCACCUAGUGCUACAACUAGGUUUAAACAAAAGAUGGCAGACCUCUCAAAUUGGAACAGAUCUUGUUUUUUCCAUACAUGAGAUAUAUUUUCUCAUCUGAGGGUUACUUGUGCAACGUUAACUCCUCGUUGAUACAAUGGACAUGCAAAAUGAGCUCCCAAAUGAUGACGGGCUGAUGUCAUCAUUUCUGACAGAUUUCCAGGGAAUCUCCGGAGCUACGGAGGGUUUCUCAGAUCAUCGUAACGCAGCGGUACCAAGCAGGCGUCCCCACCAAAAUGCUGCCAUCCAUCUACUGCAGUAACGGCUCAUUUUCUAUACAUUUUACCAUCAUGUCUUGUCUUUUCUUUUGUCAGUUAGAUUAUUAAAAGCAUUGCCGUCCUAUGCUGUUUUCACCAACUAAAUCUGUUGUUCCCAACAUUUUUUGCUUGUGAUCCCUUAAAAUGAAGCCAGUUAUGAUCCCUUAAUAUGGACAUGAAUUGUUAGCAGUUCAAUCGAAGAAUGAAUUUUUUUUUUACUUUGAAAGAUUGUUAGAGCCCCCAAAGAGGUGAAAAUAGCCAAUAGCGAAAUGUAAGAAAAAUAUCCAUAUUUUGUGAAACACAAAUAUAUGUUUUUAAUUGUCUUGUGACCCCUUAUAUUUAACUUGGGGCCCCAUGGGAGGUGAUUGUUUUGCAAACACCUUUAAAAGUCAUGUUGAGACUAUGUCUGUUUGCAGUUGUCUCUAUUUUAUAUAUUGUAGGCAAUAAAGCUCCCAACUAACUGUCAAAUCAACAGAUUGAUAUUUGAAUUUCAUUCUUGACCCUGAAAACAGCAGUUGAGAAAAAAUUUCACCACAAGAAUCAUAUCACAUGAUCUUUAAGAGCCAAUUAAGGUUGUCCAGUUAUCAUUGAAAUGUGGACGUUCAAACUUCCAAUUUUUUGAGGA